GUGAAAUUGUUGAAAGGGAAGCGCUUGCAGCCAGACGUGCCCGUAGUUGCUCAUCUGGGGUUCUCCCCAGUGCACUCUUCUAUGGGCAGGCCAGCAUCAGUUCGGGCGGUUGGAGAAAGACCUGUGUCACGUAGCUCUCUUCGGAGAGUGUUAUAGGGCAGGUGGAAUGCAACCAGCCUGAACUGAGGUCCGCGCAUCUGCUAGGAUGCUGGCGUAAUGGCUGUAAGCGGCCCGUCUUGAAACACGGACCAAGGAGUCUAACAUCUAUGCGAGUGUUUGGGUGUCAAGCCCGAGCGCGUAAUGAAAGUGAACGGAGGUGGGAACCCCUCGGGGCGCACCAUCGACCGAUCCUGAUGUCUUCGGAUGGAUUUGAGUAAGAGCAUAGCUGUUGGGACCCGAAAGAUGGUGAACUAUGCCUGAAUAGGGUGAAGCCAGAGGAAACUCUGGUGGAGGCUCGCAGCGGUUCUGACGUGCAAAUCGAUCGUCAAAUUUGGGCAUAGGGGCGAAAGACUAAUCGAACUAUCUAGUAGCUGGUUCCUGCCGAAGUUUCCCUCAGGAUAGCAGUAACGUUUUCAGUUUUAUGAGGUAAAGCGAAUGAUUAGAGGCCUGGGGGUUGAAACAACCUUCACCUAUUCUCAAACUUUAAAUAUGUAAGAAGUCCUUGUUUCUUAAUUGAACGUGGACAUUUGAAUGUAUCGUUACUAGUGGGCCAUUUUUGGUAAGCAGAACUGGCGAUGCGGGAUGAACCGAACGCGGGGUUAAGGUGCCAGAAUGCACGCUCAUCAGACACCACAAAAAG
This 799-nucleotide ribosomal RNA is filed under the name uncultured Ascomycota. RNAcentral describes it as "LSU rRNA". It matches the Rfam family "Eukaryotic large subunit ribosomal RNA", at positions 399 to 1221 of the family's 3401-position model. Lineage: Eukaryota; Fungi; Ascomycota. The record is from RNAcentral.